This 20-nucleotide non-coding RNA is filed under the name Rattus norvegicus (Norway rat). The record is from RNAcentral. Lineage: Eukaryota; Metazoa; Chordata; Mammalia; Rodentia; Muridae.
UUUGAGCUUGUGGUAAGGCA